Molecule: long non-coding RNA, 268 nt
Filed under: Carica papaya (papaya)
Lineage: Eukaryota; Viridiplantae; Streptophyta; Magnoliopsida; Brassicales; Caricaceae
Description: long non-coding RNA (CPAP_LNC003673)
Source: RNAcentral
UUUGGAUAACUCAGAAGAUUUCAGCAAAAUUGGCCCUAGUUGGAUAGUCCUGGGCCUCGAGUCUUCCGGUACGUUAUAUGGAAGGUCUUCCUUACAUCAUUCCUAUAACAGAAAGGAAGACUCGAGUUGAUGGUCUAAUUUAGAAAAGAGGACUUAUUUUCCUAGAUAUCCUAACAGUCUUUCUACCUAUGGCCUCAGUUGUAAGGGAUUUAGUUUGUGUAACUGUUCUAAUACCAUCUAUGACAUCCCAAAUACUAAUUAAGGCAUU